GUCACAUGAAGCCACACCUUUCACUGGUCUUGCCUUCCCUACCCAGGUCAAAUAUGUAAGAGGGGAAGAGCAGCAAACUGUAUGUUAUUCUCACUUAACCUCUAUCACAUCCCGCGCACCUGAAAUACCGAGUGUAAACCAUGUCUUUCACUCCAAAGUCAUACAGUAAGCCCCAAACAGUUACAACUUCAAGCACUAGAUCCACCAAAACAGUGGAUGACGGCAAAAAGAAAUCCCUGCUGAGGGACAAUAGCUGGAUUAAGUCAAAUGUGAACGAGGAAGAACAAGUCGAACGUGAUGCGAACUUCGGCAAAAGUGUUCUGGGUCGUUAUAAGUCCACCGAAAACCUUGUCAACCCUCAAGAUAAAACUAGCAAAACCGAGAGCAAAACCAGCACUGUCACCACUUCAUCAGGUGCCUCUGUCCAAGCGCUCACUAAAAGGUAUUUCACUGCUGAAGACUUUCUUACAUCAAACAUCUUACCAUAUGUGUUACAAAUCUCUACUUCUACAACAACAAUCAAAGAUGGUACAAAGAUAACCGAGACAACUGUGACCACUACCAACAUCAAGACCUACACCAAGGAGGAUGUUUCACCAACUAAAACAACAUCCUACAGCACAAAGAGGUGGGCACUUAAGAGAUUUGACUACAAGAGUGAAGUGGUUACGGUGAAGUCUUCAAAGGCCAUCAGUGAUGUAAAAACAUACAGCUGCAGAUGGCUGACUAACCUGGAAAAAAUGUGGUUACUAAUACCUUUUAUUAACCUCUUAACCUAUUUAAUUUACAGCAUCAAGACCUACACCAAGGAGGAUGUUUCACCACCUAAAACAACAUCCUACAGCACAAAGAGACCAACUUCACCUGUCAAGACCACCACAAGCAUCAAAACCUACACCAAAGAGGAUGUUUCACCAACUAAAACAACAUCAUAUUCUGUCCGAUCCACAAAGAGCACUGAGGAUCAACUGUUCGAUACUCUCAUACCUGCAUCAAUCAAGUCAACCAACACUAAACCUGACAGCAGUCGCGAGGAUGUAUCGGUCUCCAAAUCCAUCAGAACCGUGUAUUCAACAAAUGAGAGAGAUGAGUGGAGUACAGUCACAAGCCCUUCUUACACCAGGACAUCAUACAAAGAGAGCAGGCCUGCUGAUUACCUGUCUGACUCGCUCACGUCAAAAACCACCACGACUGUGUACACAUCACCGGAAAGGGUAGUAAGUGGGAAGGACAUCUGCACGGUCUGCCAUAAAAACAUGUACACCGAUGAAAAGAUUAUCCUGGAUGACAUGAAUAUCAACUGUCACGCAAGUUGUUUCAAGUGUGGGGUGUGUAAUGUUUCUCUGGGACACCUGAAGGCAGGGGACAGUUUGUGGGUGUACCGUCAUGCCAUUCACUGUGAAAGCUGCUUUGGUGUCACUAAGGGCAAAUGGCUCCGCUGAAACCACACUUGGCAAUAGUGAUGCUAUGAGAGAGACGGCAGAUAUACUUGCCUAUUCCAAAACUUUCCCGUAGCUUUGAUUUGGACUCGGGCCAUUUGAAGUGCAGAAACAGUUAUGGUGGUGGACUUCUGUCUGAUAAUAGACUUUGGGGUUUAUUAAUUGCAUUGAUUGCCAUUCUCCCCGAUGAUGUGACAAGGAUCUUAUUUAAUUACCAAAAUAAUAAAAAUAUUUUUAAAGAAGAAUAUUUUUCCUAA
This 1696-nucleotide long non-coding RNA is filed under the name Sinocyclocheilus grahami. RNAcentral's name for it is "lncRNA (ENSSGRG00000054864.1)". The record is from RNAcentral. Lineage: Eukaryota; Metazoa; Chordata; Actinopteri; Cypriniformes; Cyprinidae.